RNAcentral lists this long non-coding RNA (211 nucleotides) under Mytilus galloprovincialis (Mediterranean mussel). The record is from RNAcentral. Lineage: Eukaryota; Metazoa; Mollusca; Bivalvia; Mytilida; Mytilidae.
CAACAAAACAUUACCAUAGUAGUGACCAACAAAACAUGACAUAGUAGUCACCAACAAAAAAAUACCAUAGCUGUAGUGACCUACAAAACAUGACAUAGUAGUGACCUAUGAAACAUGACAUAGUAGUAACCAACAAAACAUGACCAAAGUAGUGACCAACCAAACAUUACCAUAGUAAUGACCAACAAAACAUGACAUAGUAGUGACCAAC